AUUGGCCAAAGGGGGAAGGAGCGAUCUGAUUGGCUUGUCUCUUUUUCAACUGUGUCCACCUGCGUUCUUUUCUCAAAUAACAAGCAUCACGCAGAGCUAAAACAUAAAACUUUUAUCAUAAGAAAUUAUUUACUAAACUACAGGCAAAAGAUCCUGUAAGACAAUCGACUAUUGAUACUACAAUCUUUAAACGCAUUGUUUGACGAUUUGGCAUAGGUUAGCAGUUAAAAAGUUUAUUACGGGAUUAUUUCAGACUUUUUUUUUUUUUGCAGAUAAAUGUAUUUAUUAUUUACACGUAAUUAUUAGCCAAAAUAAGUUUCGUAAAUUUUUAUUAUCUUUUAAAAGACAAGAUUUUGUUCUAGGGAUUUGCUGUACCUAGUGAAGAGCCCAUUCCUCGUAGAAUGACGUCAAUAUCGAUAAAGGCAAAACGCACCCCGGAGCGCUAUUGUACGGAUCUUUCUCUCCGCUGAUAGCCGGCCGGAGCGCGGCUGGACCCGAACUGCCUCCCUGCGGAACUCCUGCUGGAAUGGUUUGAGUGCGCUGAGCGCAGCAGAGGUUAGAGUAGCAGAUAAAAAGGGGAAUGAGGGUGCCGAGCGCGCUUUUUUUUUUUUUUUUUUUU
Molecule: long non-coding RNA, 619 nt
Organism: Cyprinus carpio (common carp)
Lineage: Eukaryota; Metazoa; Chordata; Actinopteri; Cypriniformes; Cyprinidae
Exons: 2
Source: RefSeq, a predicted model, not a curated record